UAUAGAACUGCAUAACCUAGUUUUGUGUUGAAGAUGUAUAUAACCCUGCAAAACUGUUUUGUAGGUUGGUUGACCAUGGCAUAUUUUUGUCUGCUAGAUAUACUGUUUAUGGCAAGUCUCUCUGGGUUUUCAUUUGGAGUUCUUGUCUGACUUUUUCCCAUGAAUGAAGUAUUUGUAUUUAUCCCGACUACUUGGCCAGCUUAGACUGAUGUGAUAUACCAGAGAAAUUUUUAUAUUCUUUUUGCAACCUUCAUCAAAAUUAACA
RNAcentral lists this unclassified non-coding RNA (265 nucleotides) under Hevea brasiliensis (rubber tree). The record is from RNAcentral. Lineage: Eukaryota; Viridiplantae; Streptophyta; Magnoliopsida; Malpighiales; Euphorbiaceae.